RNAcentral lists this ribosomal RNA (1378 nucleotides) under Enterobacter asburiae. RNAcentral's name for it is "bacterial SSU rRNA". It matches the Rfam family "Bacterial small subunit ribosomal RNA", at positions 66 to 1433 of the family's 1533-position model. Lineage: Bacteria; Pseudomonadati; Pseudomonadota; Gammaproteobacteria; Enterobacterales; Enterobacteriaceae. The record is from RNAcentral.
GCGGUAGCACAGUGGGAGCUUGCUCCUGGGUGACGAGCGGCGGACGGGUGAGUAAUGUCUGGGAAACUGCCUGAUGGAGGGGGAUAACUACUGGAAACGGUAGCUAAUACCGCAUAACGUCGCAAGACCAAAGAGGGGGACCUUCGGGCCUCUUGCCAUCAGAUGUGCCCAGAUGGGAUUAGCUAGUAGGUGGGGUAACGGCUCACCUAGGCGACGAUCCCUAGCUGGUCUGAGAGGAUGACCAGCCACACUGGAACUGAGACACGGUCCAGACUCCUACGGGAGGCAGCAGUGGGGAAUAUUGCACAAUGGGCGCAAGCCUGAUGCACCCAUGCCGCGUGUAUGAAAAAGGCCUUCGGGUUGUAAAGUACUUUCAGCGGGGAGGAAGGCGAUAAGGUUAAUAACCUUGUCGAUUGACGUUACCCGCAGAAAAAGCACCGGCUAACUCCGUGCCAGCAGCCGCGGUAAUACGGAGGGUGCAAGCGUUAAUCGGAAUUACUGGGCGUAAAGCGCACGCAGGCGGUCUGUCAAGUCGGAUGUGAAAUCCCCGGGCUCAACCUGGGAACUGCAUUCGAAACUGGCAGGCUAGAGUCUUGUAGAGGGGGGUAGAAUUCCAGGUGUAGCGGUGAAAUGCGUAGAGAUCUGGAGGAAUACCGGUGGCGAAGGCGGCCCCCUGGACAAAGACUGACGCUCAGGUGCGAAAGCGUGGGGAGCAAACAGGAUUAGAUACCCUGGUAGUCCACGCCGUAAACGAUGUCGACUUGGAGGUUGUGCCCUUGAGGCGUGGCUUCCGGAGCUAACGCGUUAAGUCGACCGCCUGGGGAGUACGGCCGCAAGGUUAAAACUCAAAUGAAUUGACGGGGGCCCGCACAAGCGGUGGAGCAUGUGGUUUAAUUCGAUGCAACGCGAAGAACCUUACCUACUCUUGACAUCCAGAGAACUUUCCAGAGAUGGAUUGGUGCCUUCGGGAACUCUGAGACAGGUGCUGCAUGGCUGUCGUCAGCUCGUGUUGUGAAAUGUUGGGUUAAGUCCCGCAACGAGCGCAACCCUUAUCCUUUGUUGCCAGCGGUUAGGCCGGGAACUCAAAGGAGACUGCCAGUGAUAAACUGGAGGAAGGUGGGGGAUGACGUCAAGUCAUCAUGGCCCUUACGAGUAGGGCUACACACGUGCUACAAUGGCGCAUACAAAGAGAAGCGACCUCGCGAGAGCAAGCGGACCUCAUAAAGUGCGUCGUAGUCCGGAUUGGAGUCUGCAACUCGACUCCAUGAAGUCGGAAUCGCUAGUAAUCGUAGAUCAGAAUGCUACGGUGAAUACGUUCCCGGGCCUUGUACACACCGCCCGUCACACCAUGGGAGUGGGUUGCAAAAGAAGUAGGUAG